UAGAAGUGAUGCUGCAAAAGUUUUUGCCACCCAAAGCCUCUACUUGGACAAGAGUUGUACAAGAGCUUUGCAAGCCUAAGAAGGUCAGAGCAGCCAUUGACAAAUGUUGGAGCAGCCUAUAUUGCUAAUUUUUAAGUCUCUUACAGAUAGCACUCUUGCAAAUAGGGAUGUGCGGACAUCUGUUUCAUGAAAAUGUGCAAACCUUCAACAGACUCCCUCCCAUUCAUUCGCAGCAUAUGUCAAAUCUGCAAUGAGCAAAGUUGGUGCAGGUUGAUCUGGGACAAGUAAACAAUAAGCU
This is a non-coding RNA of Prunus mume (Japanese apricot), 298 nucleotides long. Lineage: Eukaryota; Viridiplantae; Streptophyta; Magnoliopsida; Rosales; Rosaceae. The record is from RefSeq and is a predicted model, not a curated record.